UACGGGAGGCAGCAGUGGGGAAUAUUGCACAAUGGGCGCAAGCCUGAUGCAGCCAUGCCGCGUGUAUGAAGAAGGCCUUCGGGUUGUAAAGUGCUUUCAGUCGUGAGGAAGGUGUUAAGGUUAAUAACCUUAGCAAUUGACGUUAGCGACAGAAGAAGCACCGGCUAACUCCGUGCCAGCAGCCGCGGUAAUACGGAGGGUGCGAGCGUUAAUCGGAAUUACUGGGCGUAAAGGGCACGCAGGCGGUUAAUUAAGUUGGAUGUGAAAUCCCCGGGCUUAACCUGGGAAUGGCAUUCAAGACUGGUUAGCUAGAGUCUUGUAGAGGGGGUAGAAUUCCAUGUGUAGCGGUGAAAUGCGUAGAGAUGUGGAGGAAUACCGGUGGCGAAGGCGGCCCCUGGGACAAAGACUGACGCUCAUGUGCGAAAGCGUGGGGAGCAAACAGGAUUAGAUACC
RNAcentral lists this ribosomal RNA (453 nucleotides) under uncultured bacterium. Its description in RNAcentral is "bacterial SSU rRNA". It matches the Rfam family "Bacterial small subunit ribosomal RNA", at positions 340 to 786 of the family's 1533-position model. The record is from RNAcentral.